Drosophila elegans is the source of this 1972-nucleotide long non-coding RNA. RefSeq lists it as uncharacterized. NCBI's taxonomy places the organism in Eukaryota, Metazoa, Arthropoda, Insecta, Diptera, Drosophilidae. The record is from RefSeq and is a predicted model, not a curated record. The transcript is spliced from 2 exons.
GAAGAAUAGUGGGUGGUAUAAACAGAAAAACCGGAUAAAACGCUUUGUCAUCGCUUGCAUCGGUGAAAAGUUCUCGAAGAGAGCUGAAAAAAAACAACAACAACCACCGCUAACCCCCUUUAACCCCUUCGCGUAUCUUUAUUAUUUUAUAUUAUUUCUCUGUCUCAUUUGUUCAUUGUUUGCAGUGCAGACUCUUUUGUUUUUGUUUUCCUGUUGAUAAGACUAUUACUCAAAUCGAGAAUCGAAUCGUACGGUGCUCUAAAAAAGCUGUAUUUGCCGAUAACCCCUGUUAUUGCAAACUUAAUACCAAUGGCGCUCUAAUUGCGCCCUCUUUUUUUACUGUUAUACUCCAAGACAUAAAACCCUGAUCGCAUUUUGGAGCUUAAAAGACUGAAUAUUUAUGUUCCAGAUUUUAUUUUUUAAAAGGGGUUAAAUAUCAACUAUAAAGUUGGCUUAUAAUUCGAAAAGAUUAUAUUAUCAAUUCUCGUCUUAAAAAAUUAAGUCGGAAAUAAAAAUGUUCAAGGGUACUUGUGUCAUUGCCUUACUUGUUUAAAAAUUACGAUUAAUUAGUAAAUUUUCUGGAGCAAUUAACCAUUAUUAACUAAUGUUCUGAAGGAUUUUCUCUGGGUGUAUUUUUUCGCAACGCUCUCUUUUCCCACCUUUCAUAUUUCUGCAUUCCCUUGUUUUUGCCUUUUCGCUUUAAAUUAAAUUAACAAAAUGCAGACGAAACUUGCCGACAGCUGAGCAAAGUUAAUAGCUUGUUGGGGGUACAACUUUUUUAUUUGUAUGAGUAAUCCUAAAGUCCAGAUAAUUUUGCAGUCGUUCUGAAAAACCUCCCUUUCCCUUUUUCCAUUCACCGCCGACUGAUGCGCAUGAUUGGUUUAUUUAUCAUCGUUAAAUGUGUUGUAAGGGGGAACAGUUGUUCCUUAUCAAGAGAUUCUGACUAAUCCCAAAGGCAUAUAAUGAAUACAGGGGAACAUACAAAAGUCAACCUUUGGUUUCGAUGGAAAACUAGUAAAUUAAUCAAACUUAAAUCAGAAUUCGAAAGUUAAGUCAUAAUAAUUUGUCAUAUCAUUUUUAAUUAAAUAUGCCCCUAUAUGUUCUUACAUUUUACAGAAGUUCAUGCAUCUGAAUGCAGAUAUGUAACAUACAAAUCAACAGCAGAAAACAACUUACAAAUAGCCUCUAUAUGGAUUACUUAAUUAUAAUAAUAAAAACAAUCCGUAGUCAACUGAAAACAUUUGUUAAAGGAAAAUCCGCCAUUCCAGGCUCUUAACUGUUUCUUUGUUUGUCAAUUAACGGCGAAAAAUUGUAGAGCCACAAAAAUUGAAAACGUCGCCAUUGCUGAAAUUUCAAAAAACAAUAUCUCUGCUCAGCCAAGUGAAUACAAUAUAUACGUGGAUACGUUCAAAUAUACAUAUGUAUGUAUAUAAUGUUUAUUUCCGUGCUUAUCUUUGCUGUUUUCUUUGCUUUCUAGACGCUUUUGUUUGGUAUUCCUGAUGGCACCAACACAGACAUUUUUUCAUGUUAAUAGAAAUUAGCACUUUUCAAAGUGAAAUACGUGAUCGGUUCAGAUAAAUUGAUUGGAACUGAAUUACAAAAGGGAUUGCUCUACGAUCGGUUAGCAAAUUGUUCUUCAGAUAAAGCCAAAUUGUUUGGUUCUUUGGGAUUAUUAUUUAAAGAAAUUAAAGCUAUCAGCUAAAUUCAUUAUAUAAACAUACGAAACGAUAAAAUGAGUAGGAAAAAUAUUAAAUAAAUACUCUGGAGUGGGUAAAUUAUUGUUGUGAUGCAUUCAAGUGUUUCCGUUUCGGGAUAUAUGAAUAUUAUAAAUUCUGACUUUAAAAAAAGAAAGCCCAAAACUUAUGUUAAUGACCUAUAUAAACAAUUUCUUGUAUUUUAUUUGUAUAAUUUAUAUGAUUAUUAAUUUCCUGUUUGUACAUAUAUCCAAUUCAAUACAACAUAAUCAUGUGAA